RNAcentral lists this ribosomal RNA (1064 nucleotides) under Candidatus Phytoplasma asteris. Its description in RNAcentral is "bacterial SSU rRNA". It matches the Rfam family "Bacterial small subunit ribosomal RNA", at positions 254 to 1326 of the family's 1533-position model. RNAcentral also lists the same sequence under 1 other name. Lineage: Bacteria; Bacillati; Mycoplasmatota; Mollicutes; Acholeplasmatales; Acholeplasmataceae. The record is from RNAcentral.
GGGGUAAAGGCCUACCAAGACUAUGAUGUGUAGCCGGGCUGAGAGGUUGAACGGCCACAUUGGGACUGAGACACGGCCCAAACUCCUACGGGAGGCAGCAGUAGGGAAUUUUCGGCAAUGGAGGAAACUCUGACCGAGCAACGCCGCGUGAACGAUGAAGUAUUUCGGUACGUAAAGUUCUUUUAUUAGGGAAGAAUAAAUGAUGGAAAAAUCAUUCUGACGGUACCUAAUGAAUAAGCCCCGGCUAACUAUGUGCCAGCAGCCGCGGUAAUACAUAGGGGGCAAGCGUUAUCCGGAAUUAUUGGGCGUAAAGGGUGCGUAGACGGUUAAAUAAGUUUAUGGUCUAAGUGCAAUGCUCAACAUUGUGAUGCUAUAAAAACUGUUUAGCUAGAGUAAGAUAGAGGCAAGUGGAAUUCCAUGUGUAGUGGUAAAAUGCGUAAAUAUAUGGUGGAACACCAGUAGCGAAGGCGGCUUGCUGGGUCUUUACUGACGCUGAGGCACGAAAGCGUGGGGAGCAAACAGGAUUAGAUACCCUGGUAGUCCACGCCGUAAACGAUGAGUACUAAACGUUGGGUAAAACCAGUGUUGAAGUUAACACAUUAAGUACUCCGCCUGAGUAGUACGUACGCAAGUAUGAAACUUGAAGGAAUUGACGGGACUCCGCACAAGCGGUGGAUCAUGUUGUUUAAUUCGAAGGUACCCGAAAAACCUCACCAGGUCUUGACAUGCUUCUGCAAAGCUGUAGAAACACAGUGGAGGUUAUCAGUUGCACAGGUGGUGCAUGGUUGUCGUCAGCUCGUGUCGUGAGAUGUUGGGUUAAGUCCCGCAACGAGCGCAACCCUUAUUGUUAGUUACCAGCACGUAAUGGUGGGGACUUUAGCAAGACUGCCAGUGAUAAAUUGGAGGAAGGUGGGGACGACGUCAAAUCAUCAUGCCCCUUAUGACCUGGGCUACAAACGUGAUACAAUGGCUGUUACAAAGGGUAGCUGAAGCGCAAGUUUUUGGCGAAUCUCAAAAAAACAGUCUCAGUUCGGAUUGAAGUCUGCAACUCGACUUCAUGAAGU